RNAcentral lists this ribosomal RNA (427 nucleotides) under uncultured bacterium. Its description in RNAcentral is "bacterial SSU rRNA". It matches the Rfam family "Bacterial small subunit ribosomal RNA", at positions 354 to 796 of the family's 1533-position model. The record is from RNAcentral.
GUGGGGAAUAUUGCACAAUGGGCGCAAGCCUGAUGCAGCAACGCCGCGUGAGUGAAGAAGGCCUUCGGGUCGUAAAGCUCUGUCCUGUGGGACGAAACAAAUGACGGUACCACAGGAGGAAGCCCCGGCUAACUACGUGCCAGCAGCCGCGGUAAUACGUAGGGGGCAAGCGUUAUCCGGAAUCACUGGGCGUAAAGGGUGCGUAGGUGGUCCAUCAAGUCAGAAGUGAAAGGCAGUGGCUUAACCACUGUAAGCUUUUGAAACUGACGGACUUGAGUGCAGGAGAGGUAAGUGGAAUUCCUAGUGUAGCGGUGAAAUGCGUAGAUAUUAGGAGGAACACCAGUGGCGAAGGCGACUUACUGGACUGUAACUGACACUGAGGCACGAAAGCGUGGGGAGCGAACAGGAUUAGAUACCCUUGUAGUCC